GACAGAGGGUGCAAACGUUGUUCGGAAUUACUGGGCGUAAAGCGCGCGUAGGCCGCAGCGUGUGUCGGGCGUGAAAUCCCACGGCUCAACCGUGGAAGUGCACUCGAAACUGCGCAGCUAGAGUCUCGGAGAGGAAGGCGGAAUGCUUGGUGUAGAGGUGAAAUUCGUAGAUAUCAAGCGGAACACCGGUGGCGAAGGCGGCCUUCUGGACGAUGACUGACGCUGAAGCGCGAAAGCGUGGGGAGCAAACAGG
Molecule: ribosomal RNA, 253 nt
Filed under: uncultured bacterium
Lineage: Bacteria
Description: partial 16S ribosomal RNA
Rfam family: Bacterial small subunit ribosomal RNA
Source: RNAcentral